RNAcentral lists this ribosomal RNA (292 nucleotides) under uncultured bacterium. RNAcentral describes it as "partial 16S ribosomal RNA". It matches the Rfam family "Bacterial small subunit ribosomal RNA", at positions 505 to 796 of the family's 1533-position model. The record is from RNAcentral.
GUGUCAGCAGCCGCGGUAACACGUAGGAUCCGAGCGUUAUCCGAAUUCACUGGGCGUAAAGCGCUUGCAGGCGGCAAGGUAAGUUGGAUGUAAAAUCUUCUGGCUCAACUGGGAGAUGCCGUUCAAGACUGCCUGGCUAGAGGGCGAUAGAGGGAGGUGGAAUUCCCGGUGUAGUGGUGAAAUGCGUAGAUAUCGGGAGGAACACCAGAGGCGAAAGCGGCCUCCUGGAUCGCAACUGACGCUGAGAAGCGAAAGCUAGGGGAGCAAACGGGAUUAGAAACCCUGGUAGUCC